RNAcentral lists this ribosomal RNA (731 nucleotides) under uncultured bacterium. RNAcentral describes it as "bacterial SSU rRNA". It matches the Rfam family "Bacterial small subunit ribosomal RNA", at positions 771 to 1501 of the family's 1533-position model. The record is from RNAcentral.
AACAGGAUUAGAUACCCUGGUAGUCCACGCUGUAAACGAUGUCGACUUGGAGGUUGUGCCCUUGAGGCGUGGCUUCCGGAGCUAACGCGUUAAGUCGACCGCCUGGGGAGUACGGCCGCAAGGUUAAAACUCAAAUGAAUUGACGGGGGCCCGCACAAGCGGUGGAGCAUGUGGUUUAAUUCGAUGCAACGCGAAGAACCUUACCUACUCUUGGCAUCCAGAGAAUUUGCUAGAGAUAGCUUAGUGCCUUCGGGAACUCUGAGACAGGUGCUGCAUGGCUGUCGUCAGCUCGUGUUGUGAAAUGUUGGGUUAAGUCCCGCAACGAGCGCAACCCUUAUCCUCUGUUGCCAGCACGUAAUGGUGGGAACUCAAAGAAGACUGCCGGUGAUAAACCGGAGGAAGGUGGGGAUGACGUCAAGUCAUCAUGGCCCUUACGAGUAGGGCUACACACGUGCUACAAUGGCAUAUACAAAGAGAAGCGAACUCGCGAGAGCAAGCGGACCUCAUAAAGUAUGUCGUAGUCCGGAUUGGAGUCUGCAACUCGACUCCAUGAAGUCGGAAUCGCUAGUAAUCGUAGAUCAGAAUGCUACGGUGAAUACGUUCCCGGGCCUUGUACACACCGCCCGUCACACCAUGGGAGUGGGUUGCAAAAGAAGUAGGUAGCUUACCCUUCGGGAGGGCGCUUACCACUUUGUGAUUCAUGACUGGGGUGAAGUCGUAACAAGGUAACC